RNAcentral lists this transfer RNA (87 nucleotides) under Pseudobdellovibrionaceae bacterium. RNAcentral describes it as "Bdellovibrionaceae bacterium (activated sludge metagenome) tRNA-Tyr". It matches the Rfam family "tRNA". From Rfam's summary of the family: Transfer RNA (tRNA) molecules are approximately 80 nucleotides in length. Their secondary structure includes four short double-helical elements and three loops (D, anti-codon, and T loops). Further hydrogen bonds mediate the characteristic L-shaped molecular structure. tRNAs have two regions of fundamental functional importance: the anti-codon, which is responsible for specific mRNA codon recognition, and the 3' end, to which the tRNAs corresponding amino acid is attached (by aminoacyl-tRNA synthetases). tRNAs cope with the degeneracy of the genetic code in two manners: having more than one tRNA (with a specific anti-codon) for a particular amino acid; and 'wobble' base-pairing, i.e. permitting non-standard base-pairing at the 3rd anti-codon position. The record is from RNAcentral. Lineage: Bacteria; Pseudomonadati; Bdellovibrionota; Bdellovibrionia; Bdellovibrionales; Pseudobdellovibrionaceae.
GGACAGGUGCUCGAGUGGCUAAAGAGGGCAGACUGUAAAUCUGCUGGCCCAUGGUCUACGAAGGUUCGAAUCCUUCCCUGUCCACCA